AAAUUUUUAUGUUUUAUAAAUUUUAUUUUAAGUUUAUUUUACAUAUAAAUUUUAGUAUGAAAUUUUAAUUAUUUUAAAAAUAAUUAAAUUAUUAUUGUAGUAAUUAAUAUUAAAAAUUUAAGAAAUUAAGAUUUAGUAAUACAAAAAUUAAUAACUAAUUUUGUGCCAGCAGUUGCGGUUAAACAAAAGUUAAAUUAAAUUAUUUCAGUAUAUAAUAAAUAAAUUUAUUUUAAAAUAAAUAAUAAAUUAUUAGGUAAAAUUUUAAUUUAUUUAAAUUUUAUAUAAAAAUUAUGAUUUAAUAAAUUUUAAUAUAAACUAGGAUUAGAUACCCUAUUAUUAAAAAUUUAAUUUAAAAUACUAAAAUAGUAAAUAAUAAUUUAUUGAAACUUAAAUAAUAUGGCGGUAUUUUAGUUCAUUUAGAGGAAUCUGUUUAAUAAUUGAUAAUCCACGAAUAAAUUUACUUAAUUUAAAAUUUUGUAUAUCGUUGUUAAAAAAAUAUUUUUUAAUAAAAAUAAUAUUUUAAAAUUAUAAAAUAAAUUAAUUCAGAUCAAGAUGCAGAAUAUAAUUAAGAAUAUGAUGGAUUACAAUAAAUUUAUUUAGAUGAAUAUAAUAUUUGUAAAAUAUAUUUGAAAGUGGAUUUAAAUGUAAUUUUAUUUAGUUUAAUAAAAUGAUUAUAAAUUGAAAUAUGUACAUAUUGCCCGUCACUUUCAUUUAAAAAUUGAAAUAAGUCGUAACAAAGUAGAGGUACUGGAAAGUGUUUCUAGAAUGAU
Molecule: non-coding RNA, 770 nt
Filed under: Libythea lepita
Lineage: Eukaryota; Metazoa; Arthropoda; Insecta; Lepidoptera; Nymphalidae
Source: RNAcentral